GGCCCUAUGGUCAAGCGGUUAAGACAUCGCCCUUUCACGGCGGUAACCCGGGUUCGAAUCCCGGUGGGGUCACCA
This 75-nucleotide transfer RNA is filed under the name Parvimonas micra. RNAcentral describes it as "tRNA-Glu". It matches the Rfam family "tRNA". From Rfam's summary of the family: Transfer RNA (tRNA) molecules are approximately 80 nucleotides in length. Lineage: Bacteria; Bacillati; Bacillota; Tissierellia; Tissierellales; Peptoniphilaceae. RNAcentral also lists the same sequence under 1 other name. The record is from RNAcentral.